Molecule: non-coding RNA, 70 nt
Organism: Podarcis lilfordi (Lilford's wall lizard)
Lineage: Eukaryota; Metazoa; Chordata; Lepidosauria; Squamata; Lacertidae
Source: the annotation of a GenBank genome assembly
GCCGUGGCUCAGUUGGUAGAGCACCUGCUUCACAUGCGGAAGGUGGUGGGUUCAGUCCUCAGCAUCUCCA